ACCCGGCUGUGUUUUCUUUUUCUAAUAAUUAAUUUGUUUUUAUUUUAUGCGCAUUGGUGUUUCAUCUGCAUGUAUAUCUGUGUGAGGGUGUCAGGUUCCCUGGAACUGGAGUUGCAGUGGUGAGCUACCAUGUGGGUGCUGGGAAUUGAACCUGGGACCUCUGGAAGAGCAAGCAAGCAGUGCUCUUAACCAUUGAGCCAUCUCUCCAGCCUCCAAACUUAUUUUCUUAUGGACAAAGGGACUUCGGCAGGCUUCACCGGUCAGGAGAGUUCUGAGGAUUCGCUGUAAUGAUGCAGGUAAAGUGUCUACUUUGCAUCCGGCAUGGAGUAUUGCUUAAUUGUUUAUCUGCAUGCUGUGCACUGCUGGGGCUUGAACCCACACAUGCUGGGUAAGCGCUCUGCCUGUUAGGCAAAGGCUGUGCACAGACUUACUCCUCCAGCUCCAACCACUGUUUUAUUGAAAAGCUGCAGGCUAGGGAUGCAACUAUGAACUAAUAUAAGUACUGUUCUUGGUACCUGUAAUGCCUGCACUUAGACGACUGAAGCAGGGGAUCUCAAGUUCAAGGACAGCAUGAGUUACUUAAUAGGACUAGAAACAUUUUAAAGUAUCUAUCUAACUAUCUAUCAUCUAUCUAUCUAUCAUCUAUCUAUCUAUCUAUCUAUCUAUCUAUCUAUCUAUCUAUCUAUCUACACAGGGAUCCUCUGUGUAACCCUGGCUAUGCUGGACUUCCCUCUGUAGACCAGGCUGGCUUUGAACUCACAGAGAUAUGCCUGCUCCUGCCUCUAGAGUACAGGGAUUAUUAAAGGCAGGCACCGACACUGUCCAGCUAUAAAAAUAUGGGUUUUGUUUGUUUGUUUGCUUGAAAGAUUUGUUUAUUUUAUGUGAGUAUAUUGUCACUGUCUUCAGAUAAACCAGAAGAGGGCAUCAGAUGGUGAGCCACCAUGUGGAUGCUGGGAAUUGAACUCAGAAUCUGUGGAAGAGCAAUAAGUGCUAUUAACCACCUGAGCCAUCUCACCAGCCCCAAAAAUAUGUUUUUAAAAAAGAAAAAUUAGAGAAUGUGCUUAGCAUCUAAGAAGACUGGGUUCCAUUUUCAGCUUGAAAGAAAAAAAAGAAAGAAAGAUUUAAAAGUAUCUAUAUAGGGG
Molecule: long non-coding RNA, 1142 nt
Filed under: Mus musculus (house mouse)
Lineage: Eukaryota; Metazoa; Chordata; Mammalia; Rodentia; Muridae
Description: long non-coding RNA chr4:129277944-129279086
Source: RNAcentral